Molecule: ribosomal RNA, 1381 nt
Filed under: Bacillus sp. (in: firmicutes)
Lineage: Bacteria; Bacillati; Bacillota; Bacilli; Caryophanales; Bacillaceae
Description: bacterial SSU rRNA
Rfam family: Bacterial small subunit ribosomal RNA
Source: RNAcentral
CCAGUGGGCGUCCAUUAUACAUGCAGUCGAGCGGACAGAAGGGAGCUUGCUCCCGGAUGUUAGCGGCGGACGGGUGAGUAACACGUGGGUAACCUGCCUGUAAGACUGGGAUAACUCCGGGAAACCGGAGCUAAUACCGGAUAGUUCCUUGAACCGCAUGGUUCAAGGAUGAAAGACGGUUUCGGCUGUCACUUACAGAUGGACCCGCGGCGCAUUAGCUAGUUGGUGAGGUAACGGCUCACCAAGGCGACGAUGCGUAGCCGACCUGAGAGGGUGAUCGGCCACACUGGGACUGAGACACGGCCCAGACUCAUACGGGAGGCAGCAGUAGGGAAUCUUCCGCAAUGGACGAAAGUCUGACGGAGCAACGCCGCGUGAGUGAUGAAGGUUUUCGGAUCGUAAAGCUCUGUUGUUAGGGAAGAACAAGUGCAAGAGUAACUGCUUGCACCUUGACGGUACCUAACCAGAAAGCCACGGCUAACUACGUGCCAGCAGCCGCGGUAAUACGUAGGUGGCAAGCGUUGUCCGGAAUUAUUGGGCGUAAAGGGCUCGCAGGCGGUUUCUUAAGUCUGAUGUGAAAGCCCCCGGCUCAACCGGGGAGGGUCAUUGGAAACUGGGAAACUUGAGUGCAGAAGAGGAGAGUGGAAUUCCACGUGUAGCGGUGAAAUGCGUAGAGAUGUGGAGGAACACCAGUGGCGAAGGCGACUCUCUGGUCUGUAACUGACGCUGAGGAGCGAAAGCGUGGGGAGCGAACAGGAUUAGAUACCCUGGUAGUCCACGCCGUAAACGAUGAGUGCUAAGUGUUAGGGGGUUUCCGCCCCUUAGUGCUGCAGCUAACGCAUUAAGCACUCCGCCUGGGGAGUACGGUCGCAAGACUGAAACUCAAAGGAAUUGACGGGGGCCCGCACAAGCGGUGGAGCAUGUGGUUUAAUUCGAAGCAACGCGAAGAACCUUACCAGGUCUUGACAUCCUCUGAAAACCCUAGAGAUAGGGCUUUCCCUUCGGGGACAGAGUGACAGGUGGUGCAUGGCUUUCAUCAGCUCGUGUCGUGAGAAGUUGGGUUUAGUCCCGCAACGAGGGGCAUCCCUUGAUCUUAAUUGCCAGCAUUUAGUUGGGGCAUCCUAAGGUGACUGCCGGUGACAAACCGGAGGAUAGGUGGGGAUGACGUCCAAACAUCAUGCCCCUUAUGAACUGGGCUAACAAGGUGCUACAUUGGACAAAAAAAAGAGGUUCCCAACACCCCAGGUUUUAGCCAAUCCACCAAAAAUGUUUUCUAGUUGGGGAGCGGGGUUGCGAAUUAAGUAGGCGUGAAGUGGGAUCUCUUUAUUAUUCCGGGGUGUAAUGACGGCAGGAGAAAAAUUAUCCCGCGCUUUUUACAACA